AUAUACCACUCGUACAUUCCGGUUCUCCGCGCCGCCCGCACUACCUGACGACCGCCCGCUACCUGUUGUUGGCC
Molecule: small RNA, 74 nt
Filed under: Xanthomonas hortorum
Lineage: Bacteria; Pseudomonadati; Pseudomonadota; Gammaproteobacteria; Lysobacterales; Lysobacteraceae
Also listed under: 1 other name
Description: sX9 sRNA
Rfam family: Xanthomonas sRNA sX9
Source: RNAcentral